Molecule: long non-coding RNA, 595 nt
Organism: Pseudophryne corroboree (corroboree frog)
Lineage: Eukaryota; Metazoa; Chordata; Amphibia; Anura; Myobatrachidae
Exons: 4
Source: RefSeq, a predicted model, not a curated record
CAUCACUAGCCCGUGACAUCACAAUGCUUCUUCCUGUAAUAUUCUAUCUACAGCCGCUGUUGUUUCCAGUUUCCAUGCAGGAAGACAGGUAGGAGGAGAUCAUCUGGCAAAGAGAUUUGCAGAGUGUCGGGUGACCGGCAAAGAGAUCUGCAAAGUGUCAGUUGAAGAUGACGGGAGGGGUCGCAGAGGUAGCAACGACUGGAGUAUAACAUGCAGGAGAUCAUCAUUUGGCAAAGUUCUGGCAAAGAGAUUUGCAGAGUGUCGGGUGACCGGCAAAGAGAUCUGCAAAGUGUCAGUUGAAGACGACGUGAGGGGUCGCAGAGGUAUUAGUGACUGGAGAAUAGCAUGCAGGAGCUGCCCUGGGAGGAGAGCUGCGGACAUAUGCUCCAAAUGUUGGGACAUAUGCAUUACCUAUUAGGAGAUGCGGUAAAGAUGCCGGCUGUCGGGUUUACGGCAGUCAGAAUACUGACACUAGGAUCCCGACACUCUUCAGAAUCCCGACGUUGGAACUCCGAAUGGGCAAGGAUACCGACACCCGUAUUCUUACGAUCAUAGGUUUAGGGCUGGGCAAGGGGGGUUAGGUUUAGGCAUCAGC